UACGUAGGGGGCAAGCGUUGUCCGGAUUUAUUGGGCGUAAAGAGCGUGUAGGCGGCCAGACAAGUCUGCUGUGAAAACUCGAGGCUCAACCUCGAGCUGUCGGUGGAAACUGUCUGGCUAGAGUCCGGAAGAGGAGAGUGGAAUUCCUGGUGUAGCGGUGAAAUGCGCAGAUAUCAGGAAGAACACCUAUGGCGAAGGCAGCUCUCUGGAACGGUACUGACGCUGAGACGCGAAAGCGUGGGGAGCGAACAGG
Molecule: ribosomal RNA, 253 nt
Filed under: uncultured bacterium
Lineage: Bacteria
Description: partial 16S ribosomal RNA
Rfam family: Bacterial small subunit ribosomal RNA
Source: RNAcentral